Molecule: transfer RNA, 74 nt
Filed under: Chlamydiota bacterium
Lineage: Bacteria; Pseudomonadati; Chlamydiota
Description: Chlamydiae bacterium (groundwater metagenome) tRNA-Val
Rfam family: tRNA
About the family: Transfer RNA (tRNA) molecules are approximately 80 nucleotides in length.
Source: RNAcentral
GGGCAACUAGCUCAGCUGGUUAGAGCACUAUCCUCACACGGUAGGGGUCGCUGGUUCGAGCCCAGCGUUGCCCA